RNAcentral lists this ribosomal RNA (253 nucleotides) under uncultured bacterium. RNAcentral describes it as "partial 16S ribosomal RNA". It matches the Rfam family "Bacterial small subunit ribosomal RNA", at positions 524 to 776 of the family's 1533-position model. The record is from RNAcentral.
UACAGAGGGUGCGAGCGUUGUUCGGAAUUAUUGGGCGUAAAGGGCGCGUAGGCGGUGCGGUAAGUCACCUGUGAAAUCUCCUGGCUCAACUGGGAGCUUGCAGGCGAAACUGCCGUGCUGGAGUGUGGGAGAGGUGCGUGGAAUUCCCGGUGUAGCGGUGAAAUGCGUAGAUAUCAGGAGGAAUACCGAUGGCGAAGGCAGGUCUCUGGGCUGACACUGACGCUCAUGCACGAAAGCGUGGGGAGCAAACAGG